This 1255-nucleotide long non-coding RNA is filed under the name Phasianus colchicus (ring-necked pheasant). Its description in RNAcentral is "lncRNA (ENSPCLG00000017554.1)". The record is from RNAcentral. Lineage: Eukaryota; Metazoa; Chordata; Aves; Galliformes; Phasianidae.
AUGGCAUCCUUAGGGUGGUUCUGGUGUGUGCUUGGUGUGUUCUUAGCGUGUGCUUGGUGUGUGCUUAGCGUGUGCUUAGCGUGUGCUUGGCAUGUGCUUGGCGUGUUCAUAGGGUUGUGUCUUCGGGGUGUCCCUGGAGUGUCCCUGUGGUGUCCUUAUGUCCUUAGGGUGGUUUUGGGGAGUGCUUGGCAUGUUCUUAGUAUGUUCUUAGUGUGUCCUUGUUGUGUGCUUAGCAUGUGCUUAACGUGUGCUUAGAAUGUUCUUAGACUGGUGUCGUUGGGGUGUCCUUGGGGUGUCCUUGUGGUGUCCUUACGGCAUCUUUAGCUUGGUUUUGGUGUUCUUAGCGUGUUCUUAGCAUGUGCUUGGCGUGUGGUUGGCGUGUGCUUGGCAUGUUCAUAGGGUGGUGUCGUUGGGGUGUCCCUGGGGUGUCCUUAUGGUGUUCUUAUGGCAUCUUUAGGGUGGUUUUGGUGUUCUUAGCGUGUUCUUAGCAUGUUCUUAGCAUGUGCUUGGUGUGUGCUUGGCAUGUGCUUAGCAUGUGUUUUGAAUGUUCUUAGAGUGGUGUCUUUGGGGUGUCCUUAAAUUGUCCCCAUAGAGUGCUUAGACGGUCCUUAGGAUGGUUUUGAUGUCUUAUUAGCAUGUGCUUAGCAUGUGCUUAGCGUGUUCUUAGCGUGUGCUUAGCAUGUGCUUAGAAUGUUUUUAGGGUGGCGUCGUUGGGGUGUCCCUGGGGUGCCCUUAUGGGGUCCUUAUGGCAUCCUUAGGGUGGUUUUCUGUGUUCUUAGCGUGUGUUUGCCCUGUGCUUAGCAUGUUCUUAGCUUGUGCUUAGCAUGUGCUUGGCAUGUUCUUAGCAUGUGCUUAGCAAGUGUUUGUGUGGUGCCCUUGGGGUGUCCCAGUAGUGUGCGCAGGGAGUCAUUAGGGUGGUUUUGGUGUGUUAUUAGCGUGUGCUUGGCGUGUGCUUAGCAUGUUCUUAGCGUGUGCUUGGCGUGUUGUUCAUGUGUGCAUUGGGGGCUGUGUGGUGUUCAUAGAGUGUGCUUAGAGGGUCCUUUGGUGUCUCCUUUGUGUGUUCUUAGCGUGUGCUUGGCAUGUUUUUGGAGUGACUUUGUGUGUUCUUAACGUGUGCUUAGCGUGUUCUUAGCGUGUGCUUGGCAUGUUUUGAGAGUGACUUUAUUGCACCCUUAAGACAUCUUUCGUGUGUUUUUAGAUCCUUUUGAUGUGUUUUUUGGCGUGCCCUUAGCGUGUUCUUAGCGUGUCUUUGGCA